GCCAUGAACCAGAGGAGAGUUGUCUUUACUCUGAUGUGAAUAUAGGAACUGCAGAUGAUAAUGUGACGUAUGCCCAAGUCACCCAGCACAACAAAGGUAAAGCCAAGAAAAACAAAGGAAAAUCAACUGUGCCAGCAACUGAUGAAGCUGUUUAUUCUG
Epinephelus lanceolatus (giant grouper) is the source of this 159-nucleotide non-coding RNA. The record is from RefSeq and is a predicted model, not a curated record. NCBI's taxonomy places the organism in Eukaryota, Metazoa, Chordata, Actinopteri, Perciformes, Serranidae.